This 90-nucleotide transfer RNA is filed under the name Usitatibacter palustris. RNAcentral's name for it is "Nitrosomonadales bacterium Swamp67 tRNA-Ser". The record is from RNAcentral. Lineage: Bacteria; Pseudomonadati; Pseudomonadota; Betaproteobacteria; Nitrosomonadales; Usitatibacteraceae.
GCGAAGGUCGCGGACGACGCGUGGCGAUCGAUCUGCAGCGCGAUGGAGCAGGAAUAUCGCGCCGGCCGGUUCGAAUCCGGCGCCAUUGCG